Molecule: ribosomal RNA, 497 nt
Filed under: uncultured bacterium
Lineage: Bacteria
Description: partial 16S ribosomal RNA
Rfam family: Bacterial small subunit ribosomal RNA
Source: RNAcentral
GAUGAACGCUGGCGGCGUGCCUAAUACAUGCAAGUCGAGCGAACGGACGAGAAGCUUGCUUCUCUGAUGUUAGCGGCGGACGGGUGAGUAACACGUGGAUAACCUUCUUAUAAGUCUGGGAUAACUUCGGGAAACCGGAGCUAAUACCGGAUGAUAUUUUGAACCGCUUGGUUCAAAAGUGAAAGACGGUCUUGCUGUCACUUAUAGCUGGUUCCGCGCUGCAUUAGCUAGUUGGUAAGGUAACGGCUUACCAAGGCAACGAUGCAUAGCCGACCUGAGAGGGUGAUCGGCCACACUGGAACUGAGACACGGUCCAGACUCCUACGGGAGGCAGCAGUAGGGAAUCUUCCGCAAUGGGCGAAAGCCUGACGGAGCAACGCCGCGUGAGUGAUGAAGGUCUUCGGAUCGUGAAACUCUGUUAUUAGGGAAGAACAUAUGUGUAAGUAACUGUGCACAUCUUGACGGUACCUAAUCAGAAAGCCACGGCUAACUACGUG